RNAcentral lists this ribosomal RNA (699 nucleotides) under uncultured bacterium. Its description in RNAcentral is "bacterial SSU rRNA". It matches the Rfam family "Bacterial small subunit ribosomal RNA", at positions 8 to 699 of the family's 1533-position model. The record is from RNAcentral.
AGAGUUUGAUCCUGGCUCAGAGUGAACGCUGGCGGCGUGGAUUAGGCAUGCAAGUCGAGCGAUCCUUCGGGAUAGCGACAAACGGGUGAGUAACACGUAAAUAAUCUUCCCUGAAGUCGGGCAUAGCAUCGUGAAAACGGUGGUAAUUUCCGAUACGGUAUCGACCACAUAGGUGGAUGAUAUUAAAGGCUGGGACCUUCGGGCCAGUCGCUUUUGGAUGAGUUUGCGUCCUAUCAGCUUGUUGGUGAGGUAACGGCUCACCAAGGCUUAUGACGGGUAGUUGGUCUGAGAGGAUGUCCAACCACACUGGGACUGAGACACUGCCCAGACUCCUACGGGAGGCUGCAGUCGAGAAUCUUUAGCAAUGGACGAAAGUCUGACUAUGCGACGCCGCGUGCAGGAUGAAGGCCUUCGGGUUGUAAACUGCUUUUAUAAGGGGAGAACUCUCUUAAGUUAAUAGCUUAAGAGCUGACGGUACCUUAUGAAUAAGCCACGGCCAACUCCGUGCCAGCAGCCGCGGUAAUACGGAGGUGGCGAGCGUUACUCGGAAUCAUUGGGUGUAAAGGGCAAGUAGGCGGCUAGAUAAGUGAGGGGUGAAAUCUCCCGACUCAAUCGGGAAACUGCCUUUCAAACUGUCUGGCUUGAGAUUGGAAGAGGGAAAUGGAAUUAGCAGUGUAAGGGUGAAAUCUGUAGAUAUUG